This 479-nucleotide ribosomal RNA is filed under the name uncultured bacterium. RNAcentral's name for it is "bacterial SSU rRNA". It matches the Rfam family "Bacterial small subunit ribosomal RNA", at positions 28 to 507 of the family's 1533-position model. The record is from RNAcentral.
GACGAACGCUGGCGGCGUGCUUAACACAUGCAAGUCGAACGAGAAUCUGCUGAAGGAGGAUUCGUCCAACGGAAGUAGAGGAAAGUGGCGGACGGGUGAGUAACGCGUGAGGAACCUGCCUUGAAGAGGGGGACAACAGUUGGAAACGACUGCUAAUACCGCAUGAAGCAUAGGGGUCGCAUGAUCUUUAUGCCAAAGAUUUAUCGCUUCAAGAUGGCCCUCGCGUCUGAUUAGCUAGUUGGCGGGGUAACGGCCCACCAAGGCGACGAUCAGUAGCCGGACUGAGAGGUUGAACGGCCACAUUGGGACUGAGAUACGGCCCAGACUCCUACGGGAGGCAGCAGUGGGGAAUAUUGGGCAAUGGGCGCAAGCCUGACCCAGCAACGCCGCGUGAAGGAAGAAGGCUUUCGGGUUGUAAACUCUUUGUCGGGGACGAGUAGAAGACGGUACCUGGCGAAUAAGCCACGGCUAACUACGUG